AUGUUUAAAUUUCCACAAAAAGAUUGGGUUUUUUUUCAUACAGAAGCAAAAUUGUUACGUGGGGUUCAUUCAGAUUAACCCAUGGCUCCUCCUUCUUCAACAACUGUUACAAAUCAACUACAAACCCUAAACCCAACUAUAAUCCCUGGUCUACCAAACGAUUUAGCAGCGAUUAUACUUGUAUUCGUUCCUUACUCUCAUCAUUCACGUCUUAAAUCCAUUUGUAAAUCAUGGAAGCAAUUUUUCUCUUCCAAA
This 255-nucleotide unclassified non-coding RNA is filed under the name Hevea brasiliensis (rubber tree). Lineage: Eukaryota; Viridiplantae; Streptophyta; Magnoliopsida; Malpighiales; Euphorbiaceae. The record is from RNAcentral.